CAGUCGCCACGGGAAUACGGAGGGAGCUAGCGUUGUUCGGAAUUACUGGGCGUAAAGCGCACGUAGGCGGCUUUGUAAGUUAGAGGUGAAAGCCUGGAGCUCAACUCCAGAAUUGCCUUUAAGACUGCAUCGCUUGAAUCCAGGAGAGGUGAGUGGAAUUCCGAGUGUAGAGGUGAAAUUCGUAGAUAUUCGGAAGAACACCAGUGGCGAAGGCGGCUCACUGGUCUGUAACUGACGCUGAGGAGCGAAAGCGUGGGGAGCGAACAGGAUUAGAUACCCGAGUAGUCCCUGUCUCUUAUAC
RNAcentral lists this ribosomal RNA (301 nucleotides) under uncultured bacterium. RNAcentral describes it as "partial 16S ribosomal RNA". It matches the Rfam family "Bacterial small subunit ribosomal RNA", at positions 509 to 807 of the family's 1533-position model. The record is from RNAcentral.